GCGACAUGCUAGAGCUCCAAUAGAUGUUGAGACUACCACUGACUGAAGAUCGAGUGACGGUUGGUGACUGGGUCCAGAAGCAUCAUGAGCACCUUUUGUAUGCCUAUAAAAGAGCAGGAGAGACUCGGCAGAUUGCAAUCUGGUUGAGAGACAGGAACAGCAAGGAUGGCCGUGAACCGGAGAUUGUGGUGUCUGUGUUAAGAAAACUAACCCAUUGACUGUAGAGCGGCCAACCUGCUUUUGUGCAGUUCCUGUACAUGUGCUCUAUUGAGGUCUGCUGCCGCUGUCAUAUGCAUUUCCUCUCUCUCUGUCUCUGUUUUUUUCAUAUUUGGGAAGGCUUCUCCCCAUUGUGAGCUUGUUGUAAACCUUUGUUUUUGCUUUGUGUUUUGUUUAAAUCUUUUUACCAAGACCCAGACCUGGGAUGCAUAUUAAAACAUAGCUGUAGUCUAUGUAUACUUCUUUUUAAAAUAACGUAUUGUUUUUAAACGGUAUGUAGUUAGCAGGCAUUAUCUUGCCAUUUGUUCAGCCUAGAGGUAUUGACUGGUACUGCAGCCCUGCCAGUUUCACAGGUUCACUUUCAUUUAUUUAUUUUUUUGGUUUAUUUUAUUAAGUGUGUAUUUUCAUUAUUAAUUUUAGGAUCAUUUCUAUGUGUGCAUUUUGGGUUUUAUUCAUAGUUAAGUGUGUAUUAUUUUAUGUAUAUUAGGUAUUUAAGUAGUAUGCUGUUUUCACAAAGUUAAUCUUUUUUGUAGUUAUUUUGUGUGUUAUGGUUUACCCUUUGGGUUGAGCAGAGCUGUGUCACCAGCCACCCAUUCUUUCCUGGUACAGCUGCGAC
This is a long non-coding RNA of Acipenser ruthenus (sterlet), 832 nucleotides long. RefSeq lists it as uncharacterized. NCBI's taxonomy places the organism in Eukaryota, Metazoa, Chordata, Actinopteri, Acipenseriformes, Acipenseridae. The record is from RefSeq and is a predicted model, not a curated record. The transcript has 3 exons.